RNAcentral lists this ribosomal RNA (467 nucleotides) under Acinetobacter baumannii. RNAcentral's name for it is "bacterial SSU rRNA". It matches the Rfam family "Bacterial small subunit ribosomal RNA", at positions 1 to 472 of the family's 1533-position model. Lineage: Bacteria; Pseudomonadati; Pseudomonadota; Gammaproteobacteria; Moraxellales; Moraxellaceae. The record is from RNAcentral.
UAGAAGUUUGAUCAUGGCUCAGAUUGAACGCUGGCGGCAGGCUUAACACAUGCAAGUCGAGCGGGGGAAGGUAGCUUGCUACUGGACCUAGCGGCGGACGGGUGAGUAAUGCUUAGGCAAUCCUGCCUAUUAGUGGGGGACAACAUCUCGAAAGGGAUGCUAAUACCGCAUACGUCCUACGAGAGAAAGCAGGGGAUCUUCGGACCUUGCGCUAAUAGAUGAGCCUAAGUCGGAUUAGCUAGUUGGUGGGGUAAAGGCCUACCAAGGCGACGAUCUGUAGCGGGUCUGAGAGGAUGAUCCGCCACACUGGGACUGAGACACGGCCCAGACUCCUACGGGAGGCAGCAGUGGGGAAUAUUGGACAAUGGGGGGAACCCUGAUCCAGCCAUGCCGCGUGUGUGAAGAAGGCCUUAUGGUUGUAAAGCACUUUAAGCGAGGAGGAGGCUACUUUAGUUAAUACCUAGAGA